This 459-nucleotide ribosomal RNA is filed under the name uncultured bacterium. RNAcentral describes it as "partial 16S ribosomal RNA". It matches the Rfam family "Bacterial small subunit ribosomal RNA", at positions 338 to 795 of the family's 1533-position model. The record is from RNAcentral.
CCUACGGGAGGCAGCAGUGAGGAAUAUUGGUCAAUGGGCGCGAGCCUGAACCAGCCAAGUCGCGUGAGGGAAGACGGUCCUAUGGAUUGUAAACCUCUUUUGUCGGGGAGCAAAAGACGCCACGCGUGGCGUUCCGAGAGUACCCGAAGAAAAAGCAUCGGCUAACUCCGUGCCAGCAGCCGCGGUAAUACGGAGGAUGCAAGCGUUAUCCGGAUUUAGUGGGUUUAAAGGGUGCUCAGGCGGAAGAGCAAGUCAGCGGUAAAAUUGAGAGGCUCAACCUCUUCGAGCCGUUGAAACUGGUUUUCUUGAGUGAGCGAGAAGUAUGCGGAAUGCGUGGUGUAGCGGUGAAAUGCAUAGAUAUCACGCAGAACUCCGAUUGCGAAGGCAGCAUACCGGCGCGCAACUGACGCUCAUGCACGAAAGCGUGGGUAUCGAACAGGAUUAGAUACCCGAGUAGUC